This 421-nucleotide ribosomal RNA is filed under the name uncultured Pseudomonadota bacterium. Its description in RNAcentral is "bacterial SSU rRNA". It matches the Rfam family "Bacterial small subunit ribosomal RNA", at positions 81 to 496 of the family's 1533-position model. The record is from RNAcentral. Lineage: Bacteria; Pseudomonadati; Pseudomonadota.
UCCGGUGCUGACGAGCGGCGAACGGGUGAGUAACACGUAGGAAUAUACCCAGUAGCGGGGGAUAGCCCAGGGAAACUUGGAUUAAUACCGCAUACGCCCCAUGGGGGAAAGAAGGCCUCUCUUUAGAAGCUUUCACUAUUGGAUUAGCCUGCGUAAGAUUAGCUUGUUGGUGAGGUAAAGGCUCACCAAGGCAACGAUCUUUAGCUGGUCUGAGAGGACGAUCAGCCACAUUGGGACUGAGACACGGCCCAGACUUCUACGGAAGGCAGCAGUAAGGAAUAUUGGACAAUGGGGGCAACCCUGAUCCAGCCAUACCGCGUGUGUGAAGAAGGCCCUAGGGUUGUAAAGCACUUUAAGCAGGGAAGAAGCAUAUUAAAUUAAUACUUUAAUAUGUUGACGUUACCUGAAGAAUAAGGACCGG